CAAUAGCGUAUAUUAAAGUUGUUGCAGUUAAAAAGCUCGAAGUUGGAUUUCUGGUAGGAGCGACCGUGCCGAACUUGAUUGUUCGAGUAUUGUGUUGUCUUCAGCCAUCCUCGUGGAGAACUUUUCUAACAUUAACUUGUUGGGAUUGGGACCCGCGUCGUUUACUGUGAAAAAAUUAGAGUGUUUAAAGCAGGCAUUAGCUUGAAUACAUUAGCAUGGAAUAAUAAGAUAGGACUUUGGUACUAUUUUGUUGGUUUGCAUACCAAAUUAAUGAUCAACAGGAACAGUUUGAGGAUAUUCGUAUGAACAUGUCAGAGGUGAAAUUCUUGGAUUUUGAUCAGACGAACUACUGCGAAAGCAUUUAUCAAGGAUGUUUUCAUUAA
This 383-nucleotide ribosomal RNA is filed under the name uncultured eukaryote. RNAcentral describes it as "partial 18S ribosomal RNA". It matches the Rfam family "Eukaryotic small subunit ribosomal RNA", at positions 592 to 976 of the family's 1831-position model. The record is from RNAcentral.